Molecule: long non-coding RNA, 283 nt
Organism: Onychostoma macrolepis
Lineage: Eukaryota; Metazoa; Chordata; Actinopteri; Cypriniformes; Cyprinidae
Exons: 3
Source: RefSeq, a predicted model, not a curated record
AAAGAUAUUUGACUCUGCACACCUGCUUGACCCCACUGCAAAGUUUUUCUUCGAUUCGUUUUGACAGAGGGACGUCUUACCUUUUCAACGGCUGGUAAAGGUCCUUAAUGAAAGGUGUGUUUUGUGUUCCUGCCAAGAUGCUUUACUCACAAUAGAGACAAACCCAUGAUUGCAGAGUUCAAGACAGAUGGCCAGGACUGUUCACUGUGCCUGAGGUAUAAACUGCUUCUUAAAACAUAAUCAAUGUUAUAUAAUGCAUCAACUGACAGUGUUUAGUAUACAC